GCCCGCUUCCUUCCCACCGGCGCCGCCGGCUACGUGGCGACGGCCGUCCAGUAGCUUGUCAUGCAGGCGCUGGCGGGCGUGCCGAUGAUCCGCGCCCACUCCCACCCGCUGCGACCCUCCGCCGCACGCCGCAGCUCCGCCAACUGCACGCCACAAAAACCAAAGCUCCGGGGAGGAAAAAGAAGGGCGAGGGAAUCUUGAAUGUUUCUAUUGGACAAGUUUUGUGGAAUCUGAUGUUUUCUAUUCAAUUGGAUGGAAUAAAGCUAGUAGUACGCCUGUGCUGAAAUCGUCCUUGUCUCCUGCUGCCUCUGAAGUCGAUGGUUGCUUAGGAGUUCAGAUGUCCAUUUGCAACUUGCCGACGCUAACCACCACCGGUGACUGCAGGGUCUUGAGAAAGGUGAAAGCAGCUCCACAUUGCUGAUAUCAUACUGCAGAAUUUUUCUUGGCCCUGCUUGUCAUCACUUGCUGAAUGGAAUAUUGGGGCCUGAUUGAUUGAUCACCCUGAGAAGGUCUCGCUAAAAUUUUCGUCGCAAAAGAAGAGAAAAAAAGAAGUCGGCUAAACUUCUUAUGUCUGUGGGAGGGGGUAAGUGCAACGUGUGUCCUGCGUCACCCUUGACUUGCUGUUUAAAUUACUCCUUCUGAUCUUUCCACUAUUGGUGGCAAGGAAAUUCUUAAUUCACUCGCAGUAAUCAAUAGCUAAGUCAAACA
This is a non-coding RNA of Triticum urartu, 708 nucleotides long. The record is from RefSeq and is a predicted model, not a curated record. Lineage: Eukaryota; Viridiplantae; Streptophyta; Magnoliopsida; Poales; Poaceae.